CUUUGUCUCUUGCUCCAGCCAGAGCUCGAGGUUAGCUCUUCACUGCCCUGUGUCUUCUUUCCAAGGGUCUCGGUGAUUCGGCCACAGCCUCAGCCUCCAUCACGCGGUGAACUGAUGGUGCUGGAAGAUUCAUAGACUCCAGGACAUUCCUGAAGCCGAGAAAAGGUUAAGUAGGGUCUGGCCUGGAAUACUCUCCUAGAUGAAGAUAGCCCAACCAUGAGCCACCUUCGAAGCAGAUGAGAUGAAAUUAAAGCUCUUCAACUCCUAAAGGCCCAGAGACUAUCACAAAAGAGGUCAGAAAUCCUGAAGGUCACUUUCUGACAAACUCAGGAACCCCAGGUUUAUCUUGGAGCCUCAAGAGGAGAUAAAUUCACCCAACUCAGGCUGGAGUGCAGUGGAAUGAUCUUGGCUCACUUCCGUCUCCGCCUUCCAGUUUCAAGUGAUUCUCCUGCCUCAGCCUACUGAGUAGUUGGGAUUACAGGUGCCUGCCACCACACCCAGCUAAUUUUUGUAUUUUUAGUAAAGAUGGGGUUUCACCAUGUUGGCCAGGCUGGUCUCAAACUCCUGACGUCAUGAUCUGCCCGCUUCAGUCUCCCAAAGUGUGAUUACAGGUGUGAGCCACCAUGCCUGGCAAGGCAUUCUUUUUUAUUAGGGGGGUGUUGUUUAUUACCUCUUCUAUAGAAAAGUAAAGACAUUAAAAUGUAAGAUGCAUAAUAAAAAUCUAAGUGGAGAGGCUCUUAUAACCUAUAAUAUUGAGUGAUGCAUCAGGUAGGUGUUCAGAGUAAUCUGCAUUAUCAUGAGAAGAAAACAUGUUUAAUUUUAUUUAAAAUUAAAUGAGUAGUAUAUUAUUGUACUAAUUGUACUAAUUUUUUCUGAGACAGAGUUUUGCUCUUGGUGCCCAGGCUGGAGUGCAUUGGCACGAUCUCUGGCUCACUGUGACCUCUGCCUCCCAGAUUCAAGUGAUUCUCCUGCCUCAGCCUCCUGAGUAGCUGGGAUUACGGGCAUGUGCCCCCAUGCCUGGCUAAUUUUGAAUUUUUAGUAGAAACAGGGUUUCUCCAUGUUGGUCAGGCUGGUCUUGAACUGCCAACCUCAGGUGAUCUGCCCACUUUGGCCUCCCAAAGUGCUGGGAUUACAGGCAUGAGCCACCGAGCCUGGCCUGAUUGUACUUUUAUAUAAUAAAAUGCAGUACAUUUAUAAAUUUUAGAUUAUGUGUGAAGUUAAUAGUUUAAUUCAACAUUUUUAACAUGUUAAAUACUAUUGUGCAUUCAAUGAAGCGUUAUUAUGCCACAAACUUUAACCUCUUUCACCUUACUCAAGGGUAUAGGUAAAAGAUGGUAACAAUAUACUGUUUAGUAAGAUAAUAGAUUAACAUCUCUAGUGAUUUUUUUUUUUUGCCAGUGGCUUUCAACUGCAAAUAAGUUAAAGAAUAUUGUUUCUGUAGGUAAAUUUUUAUUCUGUUUUUAAUCAUUUAAAUUUAUUUUAAUUUUGGUGGCUGCAUGAGUAUCUAUGCAAUAUAUGGCAUGUUUUAAUACAGGAAUACAAUAUAUAAUAAUAAUAUCAGCAUUAAGUGAGGCAUCCUUCACCUGUAGCAUUUAUCCUAUGUUUUAUAAUCCAAUUCUACACUUUUUUUUAAAUUUAAAAUGUACAAUUAAAUUGUUAUUUACUACAGGGUUAUUUUUAUGGUCAUAAUAAAAAUUAUAUAUGAGUAUAAAUAAAAUUCAUUGUUAAAUUCUUAA
Homo sapiens (human) is the source of this 1736-nucleotide long non-coding RNA. The record is from Ensembl. NCBI's taxonomy places the organism in Eukaryota, Metazoa, Chordata, Mammalia, Primates, Hominidae.